Bombina bombina (fire-bellied toad) is the source of this 1077-nucleotide long non-coding RNA. RefSeq lists it as uncharacterized. NCBI's taxonomy places the organism in Eukaryota, Metazoa, Chordata, Amphibia, Anura, Bombinatoridae. The record is from RefSeq and is a predicted model, not a curated record. The transcript is spliced from 4 exons.
CAUAUCUUUUUGGGUUAAACUGUUUUAUAUGUGUUUUUGAUAAAAGCAUUUAUAUGUAUUUUAUAUUUUGCUAAACUAACUUUGUAUGUUUUAUUUUUUUAAAUAGGUCUUGAGUUUCCUAAGAAGUUUUAACCGGAACUGUUCUUCACACCCUUGGAAUGGAAGAAGAGGUCUCGAGCUUCCCAAGAAGUUUUAGACAGAACUGUUCUUCAAACCAUUGGAAUGGAGAAAGAGGUCUCAAGCUUCCAAAGACGUUUUAGAUAGAACUGUUUAUCAAACCCUUGGAAUGGAAGAAGAGAGAGUUCAAAUCCUAGUGAAGCAACCACUGAGGGAGUUAGUUGCAGUGAAUGACGCUCUUCCAUCGUCUGGUUAUCACUGACAUCUCUUUGUCCUGAGCCUUUUCCAGCCAACGUCUGCUCCAUUUAACUAGAGAGGAACCACAGCCUGACAGUCUGUUUUUCCUCUGUGCCCCACUGAAUCUAGAGAGCUGAGUGUUGUAUCCAACCAGAACCAGUAAGUUACCCUGUUGUUGUAGAAGACAAGUAAAGGCUCAGAUACUGAUUAAUAAAGCACAGCCUGGCCUGAGCUUGCCUCUCACUGGGCUGUACACUUGUAGGACCUCUUAAUAUAAUUAUAAUUUAAUACUGGGUGGCCGAUGAUAAGAGAUUCUCCAAUUUAGAGAGAAUUUAUAGUGCAGACUACACAGGAGCUGAACUCACUAGAAAAAUGUCUGAACCUGGAAGUCCCAAUGAGAUGCCUUCCACAGAAAAUAAUGAAGCUCUCUGGGAUAGAAAAUCUCACAGGUGAGGGUGAAGUUAACAGGGGAACACCUAUCACAGGUUACUAGAUCUCAUCCACUAAUUCUUCCCCCAAACACUUAACUUCAGUUUAACCUCCUGACAACUGGACUCAGCCUCUGGUCUCUUGUUUCCAACGUCUUCAUCUUUCUAUAUCAUUUCAUUUAGAUUAAGAACUCACAAGCAACUCUUGUAUUUACUUUGUAUAUGUUGUGAUCUUUCUAAUGUUGUUAAUAAAAUCUCAUAUCAGUGUAAACAAAUAAAAUACAUUACAAAGGGA